UGGGGAAUUUUGGACAAUGGGGGCAACCCUGAUCCAGCAAUGCCGCGUGUGUGACGAAGGCCUUCGGGUUGUAAAGCACUUUUGGCGGGAACGAAACGGCGCUUGCUAAUACCAGGCGCUAAUGACGGUACCCGCAGAAUAAGCACCGGCUAACUACGUGCCAGCAGCCGCGGUAAUACGUAGGGUGCGAGCGUUAAUCGGAAUUACUGGGCGUAAAGCGUGCGCAGGGCGGGUUUUGCAAGACAGAUGUGAAAUCCCCGGGCCUAACCUGGGAACUGCAUUUGUGACUGCAAGGCUAGAGUGUGUCAGAGGGAGGUGGAAUUCCGCGUGUAGCAGUGAAAUGCGUAGAGAUGCGGAGGAACACCGAUGGCGAAGGCAGCCUCCUGGGAUAACACUGACGCUCAUGCACGAAAGCGUGGGGAGCAAACAGGAUUAGAUACCCUGGUAGUCCACGCCCUAAACGAUGUCAACUAGUUGUCGGGG
Molecule: ribosomal RNA, 483 nt
Filed under: uncultured bacterium
Lineage: Bacteria
Description: bacterial SSU rRNA
Rfam family: Bacterial small subunit ribosomal RNA
Source: RNAcentral